Non-coding RNA from Potamilus streckersoni, 77 nucleotides. The record is from the annotation of a GenBank genome assembly. Lineage: Eukaryota; Metazoa; Mollusca; Bivalvia; Unionida; Unionidae.
GACUGCUCCAGUGGCCUAAUGGUUAGAGCAUCCACUUUGGGUGCAGGAGGUCAUGGGUUCCAUCCCCAUCCAAGUCA